This 30-nucleotide non-coding RNA is filed under the name Mus musculus (house mouse). The record is from RNAcentral. Lineage: Eukaryota; Metazoa; Chordata; Mammalia; Rodentia; Muridae.
UGUCACUCUGAUGUCGAAUGAAAAAAAGAA